GAUGAACGCUAGCGGCAGGCUUAAUACAUGCAAGUCGAGGGGCAACACGGUUAGCAAUAACUGGUGGCGACCGGCGCACGGGUGCGUAACACGUAUACAAUCUACCUUAAACAGGGGGAUAGCCUUUCGAAAGAGAGAUUAAUACCCCGUAAUAAAUUGAACGGCAUCGUUUGAUUUUGAAAGCUCCGGCGGUUUGAGAUGAGUAUGCGUCUGAUUAGCUAGUUGGUGAGGUAACGGCUCACCAAGGCGACGAUCAGUAGGGGAUCUGAGAGGACUAACCCCCACACUGGUACUGAGACACGGACCAGACUCCUACGGGAGGCAGCAGUAAGGAAUAUUGGUCAAUGGAGGCAACUCUGAACCAGCCAUGCCGCGUGCAGGAUGACGGCCCUAUGGGUUGUAAACUGCUUUUAUACAAGAGAAAACCCUGGUACGUGUACCAGGUUGAUAGUAUUGUAAGAUAAGCAUCGGCUAACUUCGUGCCAGCAGCCGCGGUAAU
This 499-nucleotide ribosomal RNA is filed under the name uncultured bacterium. Its description in RNAcentral is "bacterial SSU rRNA". It matches the Rfam family "Bacterial small subunit ribosomal RNA", at positions 28 to 524 of the family's 1533-position model. The record is from RNAcentral.